GACGCCGCAGCCUUGGCCCGCUGCGGGGGAGGGCCGAGAAGGGCACUGGGCGCCCAGAGUAACCAACACCGAGACGAAUAGCGAGGGCUCGGGGAGAAAAAACGGAGGAUGGCAAACGGCAAAGCCAAGGGCACGAGGUAGCGCAGCGCGCACCCAGAGGCUCCUGGGACGGACACCACCCCACGCUCACGGGUCCUCUGGCGGUGUCCUUUGAGCUGCCGGGACGGCGCAAGAAACCUGUUUAUGCACCCUCCUGCAAUCCCACCACCUGCCCAGGCCAAGUGAGCCCCUCUCCGCUACUGGUGUUUCAUAAUGCUGGGAGCUACUUUGAUUUCAUGCAUUGCCCUUCAGCUGCCAUGUUAUGAGGACACUUGGAGAAAGCUACAGGAGAGGAACUGAGGUCUCCUGCCAUCAGCCACUUGAGUGAGCAUGGGAGUGGAUUCUCCAAACUCCAGUUAAGACUUGAGAUGUCCACAGUGGCAGCCACUAGCUUGACUGCAACUUACGAGAGACCCUGAGCCAGAGGCACUCAGUUAAGUCAUACACAGUUUCCUGACCCGUAAAACCUGUGACACAAUGAAGGUUUGUUGUUUUGGGGGUAAUCCGUUAUUCAGCAAUAGAUAACGAAUACAGAAGGCUUGUAAUUGUAUAACCAACGUGAGUUUAUAAGCGGAUAUCUGACCUCAUUUGUUUUCUCCUGAAAAAGUUAUAGAAAAAUCACAAGACUGCAAGUCACUCUCUCUCUUUCUUUUGUGGGGAAUAAACAAGUAUAAUUACAAUUUCUAAACCUAUUGUUUUAUUCUCAAAUAUAAUUACAAUUUAAACAGGAUAUUGUAGAGCUCCAUCAUAGGGAUUAACACUAAUUAGAAUUAAAGAACGUUUUUGUGAAAGUCAGCUUUUUUUUUUUAAAUAAACACUCGUCCCUUGAUAAUGUAUUUCUUUUUCAUAAAAUUAAAAAAAAAAUGUGGGUUGUAGUAGGUGUAUAUAUUUAUGUGGUACAUGAGAUGUUUUGAUACAGGCAUGACGUGUAAUAAUCACAUCAUGGAAGAUGGCGUAUCCAUCCCCUCAAGCAUUUAUCCUUUGUGUUACAAACAAUCCAGUUACACUCUUUUUGUUAUUUAAAAAUGUACAAUUAAAUUAUUAUUGGCUAUAGUCACCCUGUUGUGCUAUCAAAUAUUAGGUCUUAUUCAUUCAUUUAACUAUUUUUUUGUACCUAUUUAUCAUCCCCAUCCCCGGUUCCCUCCCACCACCCACCCCACUACCCUUCCCGGCCUCUGGUAACCAUCCUUCUACUCUCUAGCUCCAUGAGCUCCAUUGUUUUGAUUUUUAGCUCCCACAAAUAAAUG
This 1346-nucleotide long non-coding RNA is filed under the name Homo sapiens (human). Its description in RNAcentral is "non-protein coding LINC00629:10". Lineage: Eukaryota; Metazoa; Chordata; Mammalia; Primates; Hominidae. The record is from RNAcentral.